Molecule: long non-coding RNA, 202 nt
Filed under: Nicotiana benthamiana
Lineage: Eukaryota; Viridiplantae; Streptophyta; Magnoliopsida; Solanales; Solanaceae
Description: long non-coding RNA (NBEN_LNC000094)
Source: RNAcentral
GGCUUCGCUCCUUCAGAACAGAUUGCUCGGAAUACAAUUCCGACCCUACCCAUCCACUUUUUAUUCGAUUCCGACAACUUUGAUUUUUUCCGGCGACCUACAGUGAUUUUUCCGGCAUCUACAGUACUUUCCGGCCAAAAUUUCUUCAGGACAGUUUGCUACUACUUGAAUUCCGAGCCUAUCCAUAUUUUUACUUUUCAAU